CAGAGAAAUUGCCCUUUGGGGUAGAUCUCCCACCCUUUGUUUACCAUUACCUUUGUUGCUUUGGCAGGCCCGUCUUAUGGCCACUGGCUUAGGCUGGUCUGUGCCUGCCAGAGGACCCUAAACUCUUGAUUUUUAUGUUGUCUGAGUAAUAUACAAAUAAGUUA
Molecule: unclassified non-coding RNA, 164 nt
Filed under: uncultured Helotiales
Lineage: Eukaryota; Fungi; Ascomycota; Leotiomycetes; Helotiales
Description: sequence contains ITS1
Source: RNAcentral